CUCUCUCUCUCUCGAAACUCACUCCUUCCUUGUCGAAGUAUUUUCGCGCCUUUUUGAGUUGCGUUUGCCUUUUGCUAUAUAGUUAUUGGACUUGAUCUUUUUGUCUAAUGCAGUCGCAAGCUUGCAAGGGUUAGUUUCAGUUCAUCACGUAUUGAAUACAGAGUAUAUUUCCUGUUUCCAGUGUUUUAUCCAGGCAUUUAUUUGUUUUGAAGUCACGUGAUCUUCUAUCAUCAAUGAGACGUAUGUCGCGUCAUGCGCCGAUAAAGCUUCGGAAGGGCGCACAAUCAUGAGUAUCAUGGUGAAGCUGGUGACCCUUCCUCACCAUCCAAAGCAAGGACGACCAUAAGAGAGAGAAAAACCUUUCAAGGACCUUCUGAUAACUGAAGUUAUGAUUGCAGCUGCUACAAACCGGUGCUGGCCGAAGGCAGAAUUGAAGCAGGUCUAGUUGAAAGCGGCUACGUGGCUUGCACAAGCCCAAUCCAAGUUGGACAAAAUGAAUCAGCCAUCAACACCAGCUACAAUAACAAUAUUCGACAUCGAUUGUGAAGAUGAACCUCUCGAAUAGAUAAGAAUAUAAUAGUAGUGACAGAAAAGAUCAUAAAACGUGUCUACAUGUUCAAUUUACUGAUAUCAUAAACAAUAAAUUAGUAAUUGAUUAUAA
Nilaparvata lugens (brown planthopper) is the source of this 661-nucleotide long non-coding RNA. RefSeq lists it as uncharacterized. Lineage: Eukaryota; Metazoa; Arthropoda; Insecta; Hemiptera; Delphacidae. The transcript is spliced from 4 exons. The record is from RefSeq and is a predicted model, not a curated record.